This 229-nucleotide ribosomal RNA is filed under the name Shewanella algae. Its description in RNAcentral is "partial 16S ribosomal RNA". It matches the Rfam family "Bacterial small subunit ribosomal RNA", at positions 1 to 223 of the family's 1533-position model. Lineage: Bacteria; Pseudomonadati; Pseudomonadota; Gammaproteobacteria; Alteromonadales; Shewanellaceae. The record is from RNAcentral.
UUAAUUGAAGAGUUUGAUCAUGGCUCAGAUUGAACGCUGGCGGCAGGCCUAACACAUGCAAGUCGAGCGGUAACAUUUCAAAAGCUUGCUUUUGAAGAUGACGAGCGGCGGACGGGUGAGUAAUGCCUGGGAAUUUGCCCAUUUGUGGGGGAUAACAGUUGGAAACGACUGCUAAUACCGCAUACGCCCUACGGGGGAAAGCAGGGGACCUUCGGGCCUUGCGCUGAUG